This 328-nucleotide unclassified non-coding RNA is filed under the name soil metagenome. RNAcentral describes it as "partial contains 5.8S ribosomal RNA, internal transcribed spacer 2, and large subunit ribosomal RNA". The stretch from base 2 to 119 matches the Rfam family "5.8S ribosomal RNA", at positions 37 to 154 of the family's 154-position model. The record is from RNAcentral.
GUGAAGAACGUAGCGAAAUGCGAUAAGUAGUGUGAAUUGCAGAAUUCAGUGAAUCAUCGAAUCUUUGAACGCACAUUGCGCCCCUUGGUAUCCCGAGGGGCAUGCCUGUUCGAGCGUCAUUUCACCACUCAAGCCUGGCUUGGUGUUGGGCGACGUCCCCUUUGGGGACGCGCCUCGAAACGCUCGGCGGCGUGGCACCGGCUUUAAGCGUAGCAGAAUCUUUCGCUUUGGAAGUCGGGGCCCCGUCUGCCGGAAGACCUACUCGCAAGGUUGACCUCGGAUCAGGCAGGGAUACCCGCUGAACUUAAGCAUAUCAAUAAGCGGAGGA